CCUACGGGGAGCAGCAGUGAGGAAUAUUGGUCAAUGGGCGCUAGCCUGAACCAGCCAAGUAGCGUGAAGGAUGACUGCCCUAUGGGUUGUAAACUUCUUUUAUAUGGGAAUAAAGUGCAGUAUGUAUACUGCUUUGCAUGUACCUUAUGAAUAAGGAUCGGCUAACUCCGGGCCAGCAGCCGCGGUAAUACGGAGGAUCCGAGCGUUAUCCGGAUUUAUUGGGUUUAAAGGGAGCGUAGGCGGGUUGUUAAGUCAGUUGUGAAAGUUUGCGGCUCAACCGUAAAAUUGCAGUUGAUACUGGCAUCCUUGAGUACAGUAGAGGUAGGCGGAAUUCGUGGUGUAGCGGUGAAAUGCUUAGAUAUCACGAAGAACUCCGAUUGCGAAGGCAGCCUGCUAGACUGUAACUGACGCUGAUGCUCGAAAGUGUGGGUAGCAAACAGGAUUAGAUACCCGUGUAGUC
RNAcentral lists this ribosomal RNA (460 nucleotides) under uncultured bacterium. RNAcentral describes it as "partial 16S ribosomal RNA". It matches the Rfam family "Bacterial small subunit ribosomal RNA", at positions 338 to 795 of the family's 1533-position model. The record is from RNAcentral.